GACGAACCGUCCAAACGUUGUUCGGAAUCACUGGGCUUAAAGGGCGCGUAGGCGGGUCUCCAAGUCGGUGGUGAAAUCUUUCAGCUCAACUGGAAAAGUGCCGCCGAUACUGGGGACCUCGAGGGAGGUAGGGGUCGAUGGAACUAAUGGUGGAGCGGUGAAAUGCGUAGAUAUCAUUAGGAACGCCGGUGGCGAAAGCGAUCGACUGGACCUCUUCUGACGCUGAGGCGCGAAAGCCAGGGGAGCAAACGGG
Molecule: ribosomal RNA, 253 nt
Filed under: uncultured bacterium
Lineage: Bacteria
Description: partial 16S ribosomal RNA
Rfam family: Bacterial small subunit ribosomal RNA
Source: RNAcentral